This 605-nucleotide small RNA is filed under the name Histoplasma capsulatum var. duboisii H88. RNAcentral's name for it is "Histoplasma capsulatum H88 hypothetical RNA". The record is from RNAcentral. Lineage: Eukaryota; Fungi; Ascomycota; Eurotiomycetes; Onygenales; Ajellomycetaceae.
UGAGGGGUCAGGGGAAUCCGACGUCAAGAUCAUCAGGGUCGGGGUCGAAAUCGAAGCGGAUGGCAUAUGUCGUGCAUGUUGCGUUGGUUAUUGUUCUUCUGGGAGCAGUGUAUUUCCAUGUUGAGCAUGCGAGGAAAUUCGUGGUGCAGGCUCUGAUGAUUUAUGGGGUUGACGUCGGGAGUUGGGUGAUUAAGCGAUUAUAUAGGUCAGGGGUUAGAGUAUGAUUGAAAGGCCAGGUUAGUGUCCAAACUUUUUAGGUCUGUUGUUCCGAUGUACUCGGAUAGAAUACUCUGUCGCGGUUUGUAGGGUUGUGAGAUUGGGGUUUUCGUUUUGGAAGGGGUUGGAUUAGAGUGAGAAAGGAUCCUAUUACAGAGAAGAUAUUAACUGAUAUUCGCGGAAGGAUGAGAUGUGUAUUGUGCUUGUAUAUACAAUGAUGAACGAAUCGCUAUAUUGAUAGGCAUAGAAGAUAGCAGAUACGACGGUGAUAAAUAACAGAUGAACAUGUAUCGUACACACAGUCACAAUAUGGUGCUGGAAGAAAGAAAAUACACAAAGAAAGAUAAAUGUGAUACGAGACCAGGAAUUUUGAACAAUGCAACUUUGGC